RNAcentral lists this small RNA (107 nucleotides) under Propithecus coquereli (Coquerel's sifaka). RNAcentral's name for it is "7SK RNA (ENSPCOG00000008166.1)". It matches the Rfam family "7SK RNA", at positions 1 to 108 of the family's 331-position model. Rfam says of the family: 7SK was discovered as an abundant small nuclear RNA in the mid-70s but a possible function has only recently been suggested. Two independent studies have found that 7SK RNA binds the CDK9/cyclin T complex (known as elongation factor P-TEFb). The record is from Rfam by way of RNAcentral. Lineage: Eukaryota; Metazoa; Chordata; Mammalia; Primates; Indriidae.
GAAUGUGAGGGCCAUCUGGCUGGGACAUCUGUCACCCAUUGAUCGCCAGGGUUGAUUUGGCUGAUCUGGCUGGCUAGACAGAUGUCCCCUUCCUCCCUCACUGUUCC